This 426-nucleotide ribosomal RNA is filed under the name uncultured bacterium. Its description in RNAcentral is "bacterial SSU rRNA". It matches the Rfam family "Bacterial small subunit ribosomal RNA", at positions 355 to 772 of the family's 1533-position model. The record is from RNAcentral.
UGGGGAAUUGUUCGCAAUGGGCGCAAGCCUGACGACGCAACGCCGCGUGGGGGAUGAAGGUCUUCGGAUUGUAAACCCCUGUUGGGUGGGACGAACACUUUCGUGGUGAAUAUCCACGAGGGCUGACGGUACCACCUGAGUAAGCCCCGGCUAACUCUGUGCCAGCAUCCGCGGUAAUACAGAGGGUGCAAGCGUUAAUCGGAUUUACUGGGCGUAAAGCGUGUGUAGGUGGCUUCCUAAGUCGGUUGUGAAAUCCCUGGGCUCAACCUGGGAAUUGCAGUCGAUACUGGGAAGCUCGAGUUCGGUAGAGGGCGGCGGAAUUCCCGGUGUAGCGGUGAAAUGCGUAGAUAUCGGGAGGAACAUCGAUGGCGAAAGCAACCGCCUGGGCCUGAACUGACACUGAGACACGAAAGCGUGGGGAGCAAA